This 442-nucleotide transfer-messenger RNA is filed under the name Patescibacteria group. RNAcentral's name for it is "UBA1545 sp002771035 Standard tmRNA". It matches the Rfam family "transfer-messenger RNA". From Rfam's summary of the family: Bacterial tmRNA, also known as 10Sa RNA or SsrA, is named for its dual tRNA and mRNA-like properties. The record is from RNAcentral. RNAcentral also lists the same sequence under 6 other names.
GGGGAUGAUAUAGAAUUCUACUUGGAGACUUCGUCAUACUUCGAUCGCUAUCCGGGAGGUGCUUAUAACUUCCGCAAUCAAUAAUAAGCACAACAACUGCUAACACUCGUGUUGCUAAAGGUCUUGCAGCUUUCAAGAAAGCUCUUGCUCCUACUACUCUCGCAACUGCGUAAUAGUAAAACGUAGCCUCCCUUCGGGGAUGAGUGCCGGCUGGCCUGCUACAAAUCUGAGAGUGUAUCUAUCUCGUGCAUCUCUUAUACCCAGAGGUCUCUCCUCUCUGAACUCCUAAUACUUUCGGACAGAGAACGAGUAGUAUAUUCGGUCGUAUUCUCGAGAAUAUUUUUGGUUCUAUUUAAGUUUUCGAGUAUUCAAAAGAAUCUAUGAUAGUAGACGUCGAGGGUGACCUCUGAGCACGCCGGUGCGAUUCCGACCAUCUCCACCA